GUACACUCCUACGGGAGGCAGCAGUGGGGAAUAUUGGACAAUGGGCGCAAGCCUGAUCCAGCCAUGCCGCGUGAGUGAUGAAGGCCCUAGGGUUGUAAAGCUCUUUCACCGGCGAAGAUAAUGACGGUAACCGGAGAAGAAGCCCCGGCUAACUUCGUGCCAGCAGCCGCGGUAAUACGAAGGGGGCUAGCGUUGUUCGGAUUUACUGGGCGUAAAGCGCACGUAGGCGGACUAUUAAGUCAGGGGUGAAAUCCCGGGGCUCAACCCCGGAACUGCCUUUGAGACUGGUAGUCUUGAGUUCGAGAGAGGUGAGUGGAAUUCCGAGUGUAGAGGUGAAAUUCGUAGAUAUUCGGAGGAACACCAGUGGCGAAGGCGGCUCACUGGCUCGAUACUGACGCUGAGGUGCGAAAGCGUGGGGAGCAAACAGGAUUAGAAACCCCGGUAUCC
This 447-nucleotide ribosomal RNA is filed under the name uncultured organism. Its description in RNAcentral is "partial 16S ribosomal RNA". It matches the Rfam family "Bacterial small subunit ribosomal RNA", at positions 331 to 795 of the family's 1533-position model. The record is from RNAcentral.